Pseudopipra pipra is the source of this 3083-nucleotide long non-coding RNA. RefSeq lists it as uncharacterized. The record is from RefSeq and is a predicted model, not a curated record. The transcript has 3 exons. NCBI's taxonomy places the organism in Eukaryota, Metazoa, Chordata, Aves, Passeriformes, Pipridae.
GGAGAUGGAAUGGGUCCCCAUUCAAAUAUUAACUUUAUCUGUUAAUGCUGCUCCUGAGAAAUCCAGUUUGAAUUCAGUGCUGACUCUGCUUUGAGCAAGAGGUUGGACCAGAGACCUCCCGAGGUCCUUUCCAAGCUGAAAUAUUAUAUAAGGGACCUUAGUUCUUUGGAAAGGUUCUUCCUAGGGGAAGGUUUGGGGCAGGAUUGCCUCAGUGCUGCUCUGGCUCAGCUGAGUUAAUGUCUAGAAGCAGCUGGUGACAGAAGGAAAUAGAGGAACAUCAAGUGGUGGAUCAAUCCCCGUGAAGGCUCUGAACAGAUCUACCAGUGAUACAACACAUAUAGGACAGGAUAUUUGUCCGUUGUCCGCCUUCAGAAGAGAAAUGGGGACAGGAAAUUAAACUGGCCCAAGCGUUCGAUCUCUGCCGCCGUUUUUAAGAGGCUUUUAAAAAUUCCUGGAAAAAUCUUUAGGAGCGCCUCAGGAAUUUUUUUUACCCUCUACUUCUUGAACUCCUGUGUCAUCAUUCAGCACAGGGAUUGGAACGAAAGCUUUGAUGGGAUUUCUGUCUCGAGCCGGACUGAAACAAAAAGCAAAGUUAUCUGUGCAGGCUGGUGAGUUAUUCACGCUCAGCUUCAGCGGCAGCAGAGAACAUCUCAGAGUAGUAAAUAAGACUGACAACUAAAUCCAUGCUCCAGGGACUUCAGCACCUCUGUUUCAUUUGGAAACAGGUAGAAAUGUCCUUUCUCUUGGCUCUGUGGACUUGGAGGUGGUUUGGAUGCCAAGUCGGACGGCUGCACGGACACACUUGCGGAUUUACACGGCUCACACAAGCUGGUGUUCACUGAGGAGGGAUCAGUUUUAAUCUCUGUGUAAAGCUGACAUAACACUGAGUGUAAGCUGGAAGCUUUCUGUGGAUGCAAGUCGGAUGCUGACGGGGAGGUGUUUGUUUUUUCUGUGGGGUUUUUUUUUUAUUUUUACUAUUUUAUUUUAAUUUAUGUCAUUUCUUCACUUUUUCUCUCUCCAAAGCACAGAGGUGUUUCAGGGUUUCCCCAGCCUUCCUCUUCUGACCAGUAGGUUAAAAAAGUCAGUUUGGGGGCUUCCUGCAGUGAAAACCUGUGUGUCACCACUCAGCUGUCCCGGUUGUCACCAGGGAGACUGGCUGCUGCCUCUGAGCCACAGGACUGGCCAGAGACGGGGACAGAAGGGAGAGCAAGAGAGAAGGGAAAUUACAUGCUUGGUUUUGCAGACAGAAUGAAUUUCCCGGCAGUGCCAGAGUGUCUCUGAGAGCAAAAGGUCCGAGUGCCUGGUUUAUCUCAGCGGGACUUGCACACACGCCUCGGAUUAACCCCUGUGCUCUCAGAUCUCUGCCCGCCUUAACAGCUGGGGGCACCUUCAUCUGUAAACCAGGGCGUUUGCUCCGGCUUCAAACCAAGGAAAAUCUGAUCCAGAGUCAGGAACUGAUUUCCUGGACCCAACUCUUGAAGGAUGAGUGUUUAAAAUCAGCCCACUUCUCUGCCUCCUCUUUUUUCUCCCUCUUCUUGCUUUAAUGCACUGGUAAUGUCCUCUAAAUUAUACUUAAAUUAAUUCAAGGCUUUUUCAUUUGGACAAUAUGUCAGUAAGAAGGAAAAAUCAAACACACACCUGGAUAGUAUUAGACAGUCAAUAAGGGGUUUUAAAAUACAUUCAGUUUUCAAAAGAUGAUUCAGUGACAAAGCUGAAAACUGUUUAAACAGGAAUCCAGAUGUCUGCAGCCUGUCACCCCCAAGUUUUUAUUCUUCCUAGGCAUCAGAUGUUCUUGAUUUUCCAUAUAGCCAACUUUAUUUCCUUCUGUUUUAUAAUGCACUUACACAACAGAACUGUACCAGUGAAAAAAGGAAAAAGCAAAGAAAAGGGGAAUAAUUCAGUUAUUGGGUUUACCCUUCUAAUUACAGUGGGACUUCAAUGAGGAACCACGUGACAGACAAAUCAAAAAUCAAAUUUAGCCAAAUAAUGGUAGAUGGUAGAAUUUUGAUACAAGAUUCUAGUUGUAUCCUUUUCAGUGAAACUUUUUAUUUACUGCAAACCGCCUCUGAGACUUGGAGAUCUUCAGUGAGCAGCUUCUCUGGACCUACCAAACAGGUGCCCAAGACACAGGGCAUGUAUCACACACCUCAGGGGACUGGACACAGAAAGAGCUCUAUGAAUAGUUUACAAGAGUUUCCAUUUGUCCCAAAUUGGCACCUGUGGGAUGGAGCUGCCCAGAUAGUCAGCCCUAUCCACAGGAAAUUCCCUCUUUACUCACUUCUUCCUACAGUUAGGAACUGGAUGACCAAGCAACCUCUGUAUCAGUACUGACAAGGUGAGAAAGAAUCCCUGAAAGGAAAAUUUCUAGAAGCCAGGAAAAUAGCCAUGGGAAGUGCUGCAAAAUGGUUCCUUGAUUUCUACAGUCUCCUCUAAAUAUCCCUGACUGGCCUGUACCAGAGACUGGGUACCAGGAAAGCCAGAUCUUUAGUCUGACCAGUGUAAUAUGUGAACAACACACAAAUUAAAUGUGCUUUAAGAGUAGCAGGUUGGACACUCACCUUGGUGCUGAACUAAAGUCACCUCACACUUGUAUUUUCAUCCUGGGACUCCUCAUUGGUCUCUUCAUAACUGUUACCCACCUCUCAUUUUAUAUUUUGGGACUUGGUGCCACAGUAACUCAACAAAACAAUAAUUCAGACAGAAAAGAGAAAAAAAAUCUGAAAUAAAUUAAAGACAGAAAUGGUUCCAGGGAAUAUGUACAUAUACAAGAGAUGGGUGGAGCUAUUAUCCAAUUUUUCCAUCUAUGCUGUGAUGUGAAGUAAAUCAUGAUCAUCUCUGCUGUGUUGUUACUAAUUGCCUGUACAAGGAGGAUACCCAGGGCCCCUCAGCCUUCAGCUGUGGGCAGAAAGAGCAGAGACAGACUUGGCCUGUGUGUAGAAGAACCACCAGGAGGGGAAACAGAAGGGGAUGAAAACAAAAGAACAAAUCUAUUGCACAGGAAGUAGAGGGAGUUGUGGACAAAAUAAAUUGUACAGCAGCGUAAGUGUGAUGAGAAAAGAGGAAAGAGAAAACAUGAGUAGAGA